RNAcentral lists this ribosomal RNA (350 nucleotides) under Poeonoma acantha. Its description in RNAcentral is "partial 12S small subunit ribosomal RNA". Lineage: Eukaryota; Metazoa; Arthropoda; Insecta; Lepidoptera; Noctuidae. The record is from RNAcentral.
AAAAUUUAAAUUAAAAUACUAAAAUAGUAAGUAAAUAUUUAUUAAAACUUAAAUAAUUUGGCGGUAUUUUAGUUCAUUUAGAGGAAUCUGUUUAAUAAUUGAUAUUCCACGAAUAAAUUUACUUAAUUUAUAAUUUUGUAUAUCGUUGUUAUAAAAAUAUUUUUUAAUAAAAUUAAUAUUUAAAAUUUAUUAUAUGAAUUUAAAUCAAAUCAAGAUGCAGAUUAUAAUUAAGAAUAUAAUGGAUUACAAUAAAUUAAUUUAAAUGAAUAUUAAUUUGUAAAAAUUAAUUGAAAGUGGAUUUAAAUGUAAUUUUAUUUAGUUUAAUAAAAUGAUUAAAAAUUAAAAUAUGU